Molecule: non-coding RNA, 295 nt
Organism: Procambarus clarkii (red swamp crayfish)
Lineage: Eukaryota; Metazoa; Arthropoda; Malacostraca; Decapoda; Cambaridae
Source: RefSeq, a predicted model, not a curated record
CACAACAGCGGGACCUAGCGAUCAAUUUCGUGUUCCAUUUCUCACUUGAUGAGCCAUAUUCCCGCGUUUCUGUGUCUCAGACUCACAGACAAGCCAGCCACCUCCGCCAACAGCCAUGUACGGCUUCGUCAACUACGCCAUUGAGCAGCUGGUCGUUCGCAACUUCGGCGACGAGGUGUGGCAGGACAUCAAACGAGAGGCCGAGGUGUACAUGGACGGUUCGUUCCUGGUCCGUCUCACGUACGAAGAUGAGAUCACGUACAACAUCGUGGCAGCUGCUGAGAAAGUCCUCGGU